This 305-nucleotide ribosomal RNA is filed under the name uncultured bacterium. RNAcentral describes it as "bacterial SSU rRNA". It matches the Rfam family "Bacterial small subunit ribosomal RNA", at positions 333 to 636 of the family's 1533-position model. The record is from RNAcentral.
GAGUGCCUACGGGGGGCAGCAGUGAGGAAUAUUGGUCAAUGGUCGGGAGACUGAACCAGCCAAGCCGCGUGAGGGAGGAAGGUACAGAGUAUCGUAAACCUCUUUUGUCAGGGAACAAAGGCGGGGACGUGUCCCCGGAUGAGUGUACCUGAAGAAAAAGCAUCGGCUAACUCCGUGCCAGCAGCCGCGGUAAUACGGAGGAUGCGAGCGUUAUCCGGAUUUAUUGGGUUUAAAGGGUGCGCAGGCGGUCUGUUAAGUCAGCGGUCAAAGCCCGGGGCUCAACCCCGUACUGCCGUUGAAACUGC